GAUGAACGCUAGCUACAGGCUUAACACAUGCAAGUCGAGGGGAAACGAUAGAGAAAGCUUGCUUUUUCUAGGCGUCGACCGGCGCACGGGUGAGUAACGCGUAUCCAACCUGCCCAUCACUUGGGGAUAACCUUGCGAAAGUAAGACUAAUACCCAAUGACGUCUCUAGAAGACAUCUGAAGGAGAUUAAAGAUUUAUCGGUGAUGGAUGGGGAUGCGUCUGAUUAGCUUGUUGGCGGGGUAACGGCCCACCAAGGCGACGAUCAGUAGGGGUUCUGAGAGGAAGGCCCCCCCACACUGGGACUGAGACACGGCCCAGACUCCUACGGGAGGCAGCAGUGAGGAAUAUUGGUCAAUGGGCGGAAGCCUGAACCAGCCAUGCCGCGUGAAGGAUGACUGCCCUAUGGGUUGUAAACUUCUUUUAUAAAGGAAUAAAGUCGGGUAUGGAUACCCGUUUGCAUGUACUUUAUGAAUAAGGAUCGGCUAACUCCGUGCCAGCAGCCGCGGU
RNAcentral lists this ribosomal RNA (507 nucleotides) under uncultured bacterium. Its description in RNAcentral is "bacterial SSU rRNA". It matches the Rfam family "Bacterial small subunit ribosomal RNA", at positions 28 to 521 of the family's 1533-position model. The record is from RNAcentral.